AGUGAACGCUGGCGGUAGGCCUAACACAUGCAAGUCGAACGGCAGCACAGUAAGAGCUUGCUCUUACGGGUGGCGAGUGGCGGACGGGUGAGGAAUACAUCGGAAUCUACUUUUUCGUGGGGGAUAACGUAGGGAAACUUACGCUAAUACCGCAUACGACCCACGGGUGAAAGCAGGGGAUCUUCGGACCUUGCGCGAUUGAAUGAGCCGAUGUCGGAUUAGCUAGUUGGCGGGGUAAAGGCCCACCAAGGCGACGAUCCGUAGCUGGUCUGAGGGGAUGAUCAGCCACACUGGAACUGAGACACGGUCCAGACUCCUACGGGAGGCAGCAGUGGGGAAUAUUGGACAAUGGGCGCAAGCCUGAUCCAGCCAUACCGCGUGGGUGAAGAAGGCCUUCGGGUUGUAAAGCCCAUUUGUUGGGAAAGAAAAGCAGCAGGUUAAUACCCCGCUGUUCUGACGGUACCCAAAGAAUAAGCACCGGCUAACUUCGUG
RNAcentral lists this ribosomal RNA (492 nucleotides) under uncultured bacterium. RNAcentral's name for it is "partial 16S ribosomal RNA". It matches the Rfam family "Bacterial small subunit ribosomal RNA", at positions 29 to 507 of the family's 1533-position model. The record is from RNAcentral.